This 433-nucleotide ribosomal RNA is filed under the name uncultured bacterium. RNAcentral describes it as "partial 16S ribosomal RNA". It matches the Rfam family "Bacterial small subunit ribosomal RNA", at positions 29 to 507 of the family's 1533-position model. The record is from RNAcentral.
AGCGAACGCUGGCGGCAGGCCUAACACAUGCAAGUCGAACGAACUCUUCGGAGUUAGUGGCGGACGGGUGAGUAACACGUGGGAAGGGGCCUUUGGGUCGGGAAUACCUAGGGGAAACUUGUGCUAUUACGGAAUGUGCCCUUGGGGGGAAAGAUUUAUCGCAAUUAGAGCGGCCCGCGUCUGAUUAGCUAGUUGGUGAGGUAACGGCUCACCAAGGCGAGGAUCAGUAGCUGGUCUGAGAGGAUGACCAGCCACACUGGGACUGAGACACGGCCCAGACUCCUACGGGAGGCAGCAGUGGGGAAUCUUGCGCAAUGGGCGAAAGCCUGACGCAGCCAUGCCGCGUGAAUGAUGAAGGUCUUAGGAUUGUAAAAUUCUUUCAACGGGGACGAUAAUGACGGUACCCGGAGAAGAAGCCCCGGCUAACUUCGUG